UAAGGAAAUUACGAGAUUCAAACUCCCAAACCCUUUGUGACCUUACCUAUCGUUGCUUCGGCGGGAUCGCCCCGGCGCCUUCGGGCCCGGAACCAGGCGCCCGCCGGAGGCCCCAAACUCUUAUGUCUUUAGUGGUUUUCUCCUCUGAGUGACACAUAAACAAAUAAAUAAAAACUUUCAACAACGGAUCUCUUGGUUCUGGCAUCGAUGAAGAACGCAGCGAAAUGCGAUAAGUAAUGUGAAUUGCAGAAUUCAGUGAAUCAUCGAAUCUUUGAACGCACAUUGCGCCCGCCAGUAUUCUGGCGGGCAUGCCUGUUCGAGCGUCAUUUCAACCCUCAGGCCCCCAGUGCCUGGCGUUGGGGAUCGGCGUGGGCGGCGACGGCUCUCCGGAGCCCGAGCCAAUGCCUGCCGGCCCCGAAAUUCAGUGGCGGUCUCGCUGUAGUCCCCCUCUGCGUAGUAGCACAACUCGCAUUGGAGCUCGGCGGUGGCCAUGCCGUAAAACACCCCACUUCUGAAAGUUGACCUCGGAUCAGGUAGGAAUACCCGCUGAACUUAAGCAUAUCAAUAAGCGGAGGAA
RNAcentral lists this ribosomal RNA (577 nucleotides) under Paramyrothecium roridum. RNAcentral describes it as "eukaryotic LSU rRNA". The stretch from base 173 to 326 matches the Rfam family "5.8S ribosomal RNA". The record is from RNAcentral. Lineage: Eukaryota; Fungi; Ascomycota; Sordariomycetes; Hypocreales; Stachybotryaceae.